RNAcentral lists this ribosomal RNA (236 nucleotides) under uncultured bacterium. Its description in RNAcentral is "partial 16S ribosomal RNA". It matches the Rfam family "Bacterial small subunit ribosomal RNA", at positions 524 to 758 of the family's 1533-position model. The record is from RNAcentral.
UACGUAGGGUGCAAGCGUUGUCCGGAAUUAUUGGGCGUAAAGAGCUCGUAGGCGGUCUGUCGCGUCUGCUGUGAAAACUCAGGGCUUAACCCUGAGCUUGCAGUGGGUACGGGCAGACUAGAGUGCGGUAGGGGAGACUGGAAUUCCUGGUGUAGCGGUGAAAUGCGCAGAUAUCAGGAGGAACACCGGUGGCGAAGGCGGGACUCUGGGCCGAUACUGACGCUGGAGGAGCGAAA